This 213-nucleotide ribosomal RNA is filed under the name Triticum aestivum (bread wheat). RNAcentral's name for it is "partial small subunit ribosomal RNA". Lineage: Eukaryota; Viridiplantae; Streptophyta; Magnoliopsida; Poales; Poaceae. The record is from RNAcentral.
AUGGAUGUUAUGGAUGUAAGUAGUGAAAUACAAGGAACUCUUGGUAGAAGCUACUAUGUCCCAGAUGACAUUGAUGAGGAGGAACUUAUUUGUAGUUGGCUAUUCAUAGAUGACUCAAACACCAGGUUUGAUCUUGAUGUAAAUGGUCGGUGCUUCGUUUGUGCAUGGGAAAAUUCGUUGUAUUUUUCCUCAUAUUUCACUGCCAGUCGUUGA